CAUCGUGUCCCCUGCCUCCUGUUACCAUCCGGCCUAGAUGCACAGUUUGGAACCCCCUACCCGAGAUCCGUCGGUUUUGACACCGACAGUGGGUGAGGCGGUAGGAUGCAGCAACUCGCCGAUUGCUUGGUCGCCACCGAUGCCAAGCAACAAGAGCGGGUUAGUUCGACUCGGUGUCUUUCUUUUUUUAUCCUCCCUCCCAUGGAAUUUGCCUGGAUCUUGGCGAGCUCCUCAACCACCUAAUUUCUUCUUGUUUCAAGUGUGCACACCUCUAGCUUGACUUGUGGCGGUGGCUGGUAUUACUGGAGCGGAGGCACCUUUCGUUUUUCGUCCUCUUUGUUGGUGGGAAGGGGCAGCAGGUCGGAGGAGGAAGCCACACAAUCUUGGCAGGAGAGGAGAUGGGGAAGGGUGACAAGCUAUGUGGAAUGACUCAGCGCUGGUGGACGCCUUGGACCAUGCUGUCACCACCUAAAAGUAGGGUCUGCUAUAGAUGUUGAAAUCAAAGGCGUGGCCUCUAUUUGAUCAGUAGGGUUUGCUAUAAAACUGAGAAGAAGAUAAGGAGGAGUAUGGGUCUGCACGUACCUAUAAGAAGAAGAUGUCCUCAGAUUUGAGGAUUCUUGAGAUGAGAUAGAUUGCAGUACAUCCUAUCACCUCAUGGAGAAAAGGAGCCUAGAGAAGAACAUUCAACUUGAGCUGGAACGUGAGGUAUAUCCUUUUCAGUUUAAACAUUUCUUUUUGUUUGUCCCUUUAAUGAUAGUUCAAUUGUGAGAAGUGCUGCACUCGGCUCCCCUGACUAGUGAACUCCGCCGCUGAACGAUGCUCCUCAGCUACACUGCUCCUCCGGCUGAAGAGAAGGUAGAAUGACAAGGUUAUUUAGAUGUUUGACACUAUCUGAGAUGCCCCUUGAUUAGUAAGGUGCGUCCGGAGCCAGAAGAACUUGAGAAAGGCAUCAUACAUUCCUUUUGCAAGACACUUACAAUUUCGGAUACGAGUACCAAUGGACAUGUCUCAGAAUCCGCCAUCUCAAGAACUGGUAGCCAAAGAUCUCCAUGGAACUAAUUUGCAUUUUCGUCACAUAUUUCGUGGUGAUUUUACAAUUUAAGCAUUUAGCUUGAAUACCCUUUAAACUUCCCGUCGUUGUGUUUUUAUUGUUUUGGUAUAGCACUAAAUGUCACAAUUGAAUGUUGAAUUCUUACCACUGCAAAAACCUGCAGAAUAUGCUGAUUCAUUAUUUCUUAAGUAUGUGUGAACUGUAUCCCUGUCUGGUUCUA
Molecule: long non-coding RNA, 1271 nt
Organism: Triticum dicoccoides
Lineage: Eukaryota; Viridiplantae; Streptophyta; Magnoliopsida; Poales; Poaceae
Exons: 5
Source: RefSeq, a predicted model, not a curated record